Molecule: long non-coding RNA, 858 nt
Filed under: Carica papaya (papaya)
Lineage: Eukaryota; Viridiplantae; Streptophyta; Magnoliopsida; Brassicales; Caricaceae
Description: long non-coding RNA (CPAP_LNC004825)
Source: RNAcentral
UUAAGAAUGAAAUUGAAAAUAAUUUUGAGAAAAAUGGAUGAAAAUUUAUGUUCGGAUGGUGUUUUGAAAGAAAAAUCGAAAACUGGAAGUCAGAACGUAAUUAAGAAAAAUUCUGCCAUGUAGGACUACUCAGUCAGUAGCAUCGACGAACCAGAGCGGGCUGCGUGGUAAGGCACACUGACUCGGUGCCACGCGGGAGGCCAAGCUAGUGAUCCGCAUGCCCCACAAAUCAAAAGGCCCAAAAGCGUUCCUUCAUGCGUGGACGGUCCGGAUCCAUUCCCUCCUCAGGCGCGAUCGGACGAUCACGAUUAAAUGCGAUGAACGGUCCUGAUUCGUUCUCUCUUUAAACGGAAUCGAAUGGUUGAGAUCAAAUCACGAUCAACGGUUUAGAUCAUUUUCUCUUUAAACACGAUCGAACGAUCAAGAUCAAACACGAUGAACGACCCAGAUUAACGCGAGACGAAUAUAAAUAUUUCACAUCACACCAAACCCAAAUCCUAGCCGCCAGCCUCCUGCCGAAGAAGAAAAAUCAGUCGUCGGAGAAGGGAGUCGACCGUUGCCCGCCACUGCACCGGAGCCACCUCCGACCACCAAAAAAUGUAAAAAUUAUUUUAUUCGCUCGAAAUUUGAUUCUGAACACCUUCAUGACUAAAUCGGAGCAAAAAGAAUGGCGGGUGAGUGAAAAAUUAUGGGCAAAACCUGCAACCUCCUCCAAUGAGUCCCUUCUCAUUUUUUAUUUCGUGCGAUUUUUUCACCAUUGUGUUUGUCGUUCUAUUUUCUACAAGUUGACUGAAAAAAAACACUCAACCGCGAAGGUGAGUCCGCGAAGCCGUCGUACUGAAAAAUCUUACCACCGGU